GGUGGUUCAGUGGUAGAGUGCUUGCCUUGCAUGCAUGAGGCCCUGGGUUCAAUUCCUCAGCACCA
Non-coding RNA from Dipodomys ordii (Ord's kangaroo rat), 65 nucleotides. Lineage: Eukaryota; Metazoa; Chordata; Mammalia; Rodentia; Heteromyidae. The record is from Rfam.